AAUGUUGGUGUUGCUCAUGUUGUCA
RNAcentral lists this non-coding RNA (25 nucleotides) under Rattus norvegicus (Norway rat). Lineage: Eukaryota; Metazoa; Chordata; Mammalia; Rodentia; Muridae. The record is from RNAcentral.